GAAGGAGGACUUCCGGUUUUAAAAUGGCGGCUUGACUUCCCCGCCCCCUAGAAAGCCAAAAACAAAUAUGCAGCCCCGAGAUUUUCCUCAGCGAGAAUCCGGAGCUCAGAUUUGAGGAUGAGACAGAUCCCGGGACGACGGAGAAGUGAAAAUCUUCCGAGCAGGCGAAUCUUGCUGUGUUGCCCAGGCAGGAAUGCAGUGGUGCAAUCACGGCUCACUGCAGCCUCUACCUCCUAGGCUCAAGCAAUUCUCAGCCUCCUGAGAGUAGCUGGGACUACAGCUCCUCUCUCGAUCGGAAGAUUUUUUACAGCCACCCUACUGAUCUUUAGGGAUUUGUAAACUAUUACCCAGGAAGAAGGCCCAUGGAGCUAAGGCCUCAGAACACCAAAGUCUGGACUGUCUGAGGGCACAUGCUAAUAACAGGAGGCUGGCAAAGUGGCCAGCUCCCAUGCCUUUGCAUGCAUUUGUCUUUACCUCCUGCUGCCUGGGAACAUCCUUCCAGGAGCAAUCGAGUCAACAGCACCACAGACACUGCUAUUCCGUUGAGAAAAGUUUUAUAUGGAAACACAUACUGAUCAUGAACACGAUAAACAGGGAGGGAAGCUCGGGCUCAGCCAGGAAACCUGCCACAAGGAAGACGUUUGGAACUAUCCAGGAGUAGUGUCAAACACUAACACCAUAUUUACAAGUCUAAUUUGGAACCUGGCCCUUUUUAAGUGCAGGAGGAAGUUGGAGGAGAAGCCAUGCAUGAAGUAAAAAAUACAUAUACACAGACAUAAACACCCACAUUUUCACACUUCUUUUGCCCAUUUUUUCCACAAGGAACAAAUGAGAGAAAGAAGCCCAGCCUCUCUCCCUGGAGUCCGUAUACUUACUACAGAUUUGUUAGAGAAGCCCCAGAUGGGGCUUGGAUUCAAGGAGCAGACUUCACUCUUACUGGCCCCACUCACGUGACAAUUCACCAAGGGAAUGCUUGGGACACAAGCAUGAAUGUCCAGAAGAGGCAAGAAAAUAUAUGGCUCACUUAACUUACACAUUACACAUAAGAGGCCUCAGUUUCUCCAAGUACUUUCACAUUUGAUCUUUAGCAGACUUCUAACCUGCAGUGACAGAGCUCAGCCAAGCUGUGAGACACAGAGGAAAGCAGCAUUUUGAUCCAGUGUGCACUGGGUCAGUCACUUCAUCCGAGACAGUCAGUCACACAUGCCAGCCCCAAUAACAUGGUUUCCAAACCUCAUGAGAAAGAAUUCAAGAACAUAAGAGAGACUGAUUAGUUACUACUUUCUCAAGUUCAUUGCAUACUUAAAAAUGAACACAAUGGUUUAUCCUUAACUCUAUUCAAUCUGUGACCAACAUGUAGCUGCAGUAUUUGCCUUUUGGCAAAAAAGUCUGUUCUUAAAAAUCUACUGCUGGGCUAAAAACAAAUAGAACAACUACAUAAAGGAUGAUUUCAGCUGGAACUAGACGGGGAAUCGAUUACCUCUCAUCAGAAUCAAGUCCAUCCACAAAGAACUCUGAAGCUAACUUCUCCUGGAGGAACCGAUCCCAGCAUUCCUUCUUGGCUUGGGCCAGAGUUCGAAGCAUGUCCUUGGAAGUCACUUCCUGAUUUAAACCUUUGAUUCUUCUUAGCUUCUUCUCUAGAGAGAGAAGUAGAGCUUAACAAGGAAAAUGAGCAUGACAUGAAAUUUUAACUAAAUCUAAAACUCAAAAUACUAACUUAAAAAAAUCUCUCACUGAUGAGGACAUCUACACUCCCUGCCAAAGAGGUCAUUUUUUAAGGACAGAUAAAAGAGAAUUGAACAUUCUUCCUUUUUCCUUCACAAAGUCCUCACCCUGCAUUGUAUCAAAUAAAUGUUUAACCCGAGAAAAGGGAAAAGCCAUAGGUUCUCAUAAAUAAGUCAAUGGCAUGUUUUCUUUGAAAUCACGUAAGCCCAGCAGGUAUCUCUCUAAGGAAUGCUUGUUUUCCCUGGUUUGACAUGUGUAUACUACUGUCUUUUUUCAACUCCUUGAAAAUAAUCUCUCUGAGGAGUAAGUGGUUUUUUCUUUUUGUUACAGUAACAUGAAGUGGUUUCCAAAUCUCAUGAGAAAGAAUUAGACAAAAUGAUGAAAGAUCCAACGGUUCAUUAGAUAUUAAAAUUGACUUGAUGAGAACUCAAUAAGAGACCUUUAAAAUCUCUAUGUGUGAUUAAAUUCUUAAUAAAAAGAAUCUCCCAACAUUUUUUAAAGUUGCUCAACUUGUGGCCUGGAUGUUGGAGUCUAAUAAAAACAAACGUCUUCUAAUCCCG
This 2285-nucleotide non-coding RNA is filed under the name Pan troglodytes (chimpanzee). The record is from RNAcentral. Lineage: Eukaryota; Metazoa; Chordata; Mammalia; Primates; Hominidae.